AACCUCGGAUUAGGCAGGGAUACCCGCUGAACUUAAGCAUAUCAAUAAGCGGAGGA
RNAcentral lists this ribosomal RNA (56 nucleotides) under Megalospora tuberculosa. RNAcentral describes it as "partial 28S ribosomal RNA". Lineage: Eukaryota; Fungi; Ascomycota; Lecanoromycetes; Teloschistales; Megalosporaceae. The record is from RNAcentral.